ACGAAGAAAGGGCCGGGCAAGACCGGUGCCCAGCCGCCGCGGUAAUACCGGCGGCUCGAGUGGUGGCCACUAUUACUGGGCUUAAAGCGUUCGUAGCUUGGUUGUUAAGUCUCCUGGGAAAUCUAUCGGCUUAACCGAUAGGCGUCCAGGGGAUACUGGCAAUCUAGGGACCGGGAGAGGUGAGGGGUACUUCAGGGGUAGGAGUGAAAUCCUGUAAUCCUUGGGGGACCACCUGUGGCGAAGGCGCCUCACCAGAACGGCUCCGACAGUGAGGGACGAAAGCUGGGGGAGCAAACCGGAUUAGAUACCCGGGUAGUCCCAGCCGUAAACGAUGCACGUUAGGUGUAUCGAUGACCACGAGUCAUCGAGGUGCCGAAGGGAAACCGUGAAACGUGCCGCCUGGGAAGUACGGCCGCAAGGCUGAAACUUAAAGGAAUUGGCGGGGGAGCACCACAACGGGUGGAGCUUGCGGUUUAAUUGGAUUCAACGCCGGAAAUCUUACCGGGACCGACAGCAAUAUGAAGGCCAGGCUGAAGACUUUGCCGGAUUAGCUGAGAAGAAA
This 562-nucleotide ribosomal RNA is filed under the name uncultured archaeon. RNAcentral's name for it is "bacterial SSU rRNA". It matches the Rfam family "Archaeal small subunit ribosomal RNA", at positions 430 to 990 of the family's 1478-position model. The record is from RNAcentral.